UUCACUUGUCUCCCCGUCCUGCGGUAUUUGCUUUUUCCGUCUCGUCUCCCGUGAUUCCCAGAUCUUGUUCGUGUUCCUGGCGGUCAUCCAUUCUACUCGCCGGAUCCGUAUAGAUCAGAUGGAGAUCUACCAGCCGAUGCCAGUUUCCAGGCGUUGCAAGCAAUAUUUGCUUUUGUCGGCGCUUCCUGGAGAUCUACUUUCCAGGCGGGUGUUGUUCGCGUACGGGUUUGUUUGUAGGCUACCGUUGAAUCCUUUCUCUGUAAGGCUCUAGAGGUAUUGUAUUGUGAGCGAAGAAUCGAUGAUCUCGACGUAGAUCUUGCAGCGGACGAUUAACGGUUUUCUUGCCCUACAGUGGUUUAAUCGGUGCACGCAUCAGACAUGGUUGCGCUCGAAGAUUUGUGUUGUUCCUUUCUCUGUGUAUUUUACCAGAUGUUCGAUGAUGUAAUAUGAAUUAUCCGUCUGAAGCUGAGAGGAAUCUGUUUGUGCGGUGGAUUUUGAGAUUUUGGGAGGAGCGGGCUAUAGUGGUAUGUCAUAUAGCUGAAUGAUCUUUGUCAUGUGACCUUUGCCAUGACAGGUGCGCUUGCAUGGCAGGUCAAAAGAGUAUCUUAAUAAAAUUAGUCUUUUUUGGUUCAAGGGGAGACCGCACGGGAAUUUGCCCGGGGUCUCCUCUUUUUGGUGUGGUGUGUGCUCCUUUACGUUCGUUCCUUAUUUGCUAUCUCAUUCGCCUGCAUACCACAACUGACGCGAAGGAUACGUCGGCCGAUUUAACAAGGUAUAUAGUUAUAAUCCCUCUUACAAUUUAUUGGAUAUUUAUUUCUGACUCUUGAGGAGGUUUAGAAUUUUGUGUCUUUUAAACAACGAUCAUUUCUCUUUAUUGCAACAUAUUUCGUCUUGAAUCAAGCAAUUUUCCGUAUCCUGAGUACUGCUACCGGAUCCUCUUAGUUUUUAAGUAUUCAUUGAACGCCCUCUUUUCGAAGGUAAAUUAAUGUUAGUUUACAUCAUCUUUUAAACAAUGUCCAAUUGUACGCAUAUUGAACAUGAAAUUCCUCAGUGUUUGCUUUGUGAUCAUUCAUUUAGUUGCUCCGUUGCUUCAGUUUCGUCUUGGAGCGCAAGAUUAACAUUAAUUGUCGUUGCCAAGGUCCCUGAAUCUUAUGUUGCUUUUGCAUAUCCAAUUUGACGCCUGUUGAUUACCAUUGUUAUUGGUCUGACUCAACCAGAUUAUGCUUCGUAUGUACUCAACAAGAUUAUAGUUUGUAUUAUCCCGGCAAUCGAGCUUUGUAAUGCAGAUUCACUAAUAGACUGGAUUGAAAGUGCGGGAAGUCUCGAGCAUUCAUAUUCUUUUGGUUAUGAGCUUCCAUGUAUGCUCAGCGAGGGUAAUUUUUGUACAUAAUAAGCAAGCUUAAUAUGUCUCCUCAUUCUAUUCAGUUCUUACAUUUAUGGAGAGAUCACGCGUGAUUUCGUUUUUCCUUAUAUCGGUUUGCUGGUAUUGUUCUCAUUCCUGUUAAGUUCCUGGUCUUGCGUACACAGAUUUUGUAAUUUAUUGUACACAAGCUUUGUAAUUCAAUUUAUGUUGGGGACAUGAUUGAUGUUAUCCCAUGCACAACUGUGUUUCUUACAUUAUGUAGAUUGUGGUUUGUGGUAGCAUGCUUAGGAUUUCCUGCGCUGGCGAAGAAGGGUUUCCCGAGGAUGUUCGAUCUUUAGUGGUAAUUGCUGGCUGCAAUUAACUCAGUCUGGAUGUCAACCUCUAAUUCAUGCUAUUUAUGGUUGAAAGACAUCAUGGCGCUUAGUAGGUUAGGUGCCUUGCUUUUGGAAUUUUUUUUUCAAACUAAACUCUCUCUUUUUGAAUAUCUAAUGCAUGGAAUUUGGACCUG
This is a long non-coding RNA of Neltuma alba, 1871 nucleotides long. RefSeq lists it as uncharacterized. Lineage: Eukaryota; Viridiplantae; Streptophyta; Magnoliopsida; Fabales; Fabaceae. The transcript is spliced from 2 exons. The record is from RefSeq and is a predicted model, not a curated record.